Xenopus tropicalis (tropical clawed frog) is the source of this 1985-nucleotide RNA transcript. It is a transcript of the gene named fibroin heavy chain-like, with no coding region annotated. The record is from RefSeq and is a predicted model, not a curated record. Lineage: Eukaryota; Metazoa; Chordata; Amphibia; Anura; Pipidae. The transcript has 5 exons.
CCAAUUGCUAAUUAAGCUCAGUGCAUGCCUCCUGCAAACACCCACAGUGCUAAGUUUUUGCACACAUUAUACUGAAUGGAAACAGAUACACUUGGAGCAGUCUAGUCUCUAGCCUUUGGAUGAAAUCAGAAGGAUAAAAGAUUGAUGCAAAAAACGGUAUUUCUUAUAAGAGGUGAACUGGACCAGAACUGUUAAUUAAGGGCCAAGAACCAUAGACAACCAGGCUGUACCCCGCGCCCCUCUCCACUGUACUCACACACAAGAGUGCACAUGAAUGCUUGUUAAUGAGGAUUGAAGGUUUAACUGAAGAUUUUCCUGGCAGUUUUUCUGGAGAUCAGGCAUUCAUUCAUUCAUUCAAUAGGUAGGUGCAAAAACUGGCAGCAGGACUGAAGCAAAGGCAGGAACAAGAGCGGGACCAAAGGCAGGAACAAGAGCGGGACCAAAGGCAGGAACAAGAGCGGGGCCAAAGGCAGGAACAAGAGCGGGGCCAAAGGCAGGAACAAGAGCGGGGCCAAAGGCAGGAACAAGAGCGGGGCCAAAGGCAGGAACAAGAGCGGGACCAAAGGCAGGAACAAGAGCGGGACCAAAGGCAGGAACAAGAGCGGGACCAAAGGCAGGAACAAGAGCGGGGCCAAAGGCAGGAACAAGAGCGGGGCCAAAGGCAGGAACAAGAGCGGGGCCAAAGGCAGGAACAAGAGCGGGGCCAAAAGCAGGAACAAGAGCGGGACCAAAGGCAGGAACAAGAGCGGGACCAAAGGCAGGAACAAGAGCGGGACCAAAGGCAGGAACAAGAGCGGGACCAAAGGCAGGAACAAGAGCGGGACCAAAGGCAGGAACAAGAGCGGGACCAAAGGCAUGAACAGGAGUAGAGAAGGGAACAAGAGCUAGGAGCAAACCACAGUGCUCAAUGUAAGGCCAAUGCUCAGGCAUCGGAUGAGAGAAUAGGGCAGAGAUGACUCCACCUAAUGAAUAAGGCUGCUGGGUUGAUGUAACAAUUACACAGCUUUAUAUACAGUAUAUAUUUUAUAUAUUUUGAAAUGAUUUCACAAAUUGUAGCAUUGUGGCAAUGCCAUUUUUAUUAUAAUGUCUUUUCUAGACAGCUUUUUUAUACUGAUUACAUUGUAUAUAAUUGUAUAAAUAAUAUUUCUUUCAUGUCACUGGUUGUUUAGAAAACAGUCAAGGCAAGAUAAUUAGGCAAGCUAAAAUAUAUUAAAAAAUUUAUUUGAUUUGAAGUGUUGUAGGUGAUAGACUACCACAGCUUAAAUUUCAAGGGACAAGUGAAUGACAUACACCAUGGAAACAAAUGAAAAUACUGAGUGCAAAAUACUGUAUUGCAGCGGAACAGGAAUGCAAUCAGGAAUAAAAAGGGGCCUAAUAAUAACAGCUCAAAUUUCAACGUACUGAUUAGAAAGAAAAUCAAAGAGAUCAAGAUGUCCUGGUGUUUGAAAGUUAUAUUUGUGCUCAAGCAAAAAUGACAAGUUAUCACUUCCAGUAAAAUAAAGCUCCUAGAUUCAAGGCUUCGGAGCCAAGUUUUUAAUUCAGUAGAUGUAGUUUGUUAUUUUGGUGCUUUCAGAGCUACAGUAAGUUAAUUAGAUAAUUAGUUGGAAAGAGAAAUCGAGAGACAUUUUUGUUUUGAUUGAAAACUGUGUUCUGCUUUAAUAUGGACAAGUGAGCAUAAAGUUAUGUUCUUUUUAAUUAUCCAAUAAACACAUUAAUAAACUCCCCCACAAAAGAUAAUAUACAGUUUCUUGCCAAAAACCACUACAAUUAUUCUUGCAAAGUAAGUAUAAUUGAAGCAUCUUGUAUUGUCUUUUUAGCUUAUAAUACAUAAUAUCAGCAUAUUAAUAUCAAAGGACACAUGCACAGAAUAAAUAAUCACAAUGUAAAGGAAUGCCUUCAACCACAACUGGGAAAAAAAUGGUGUGUCAUACAGCACUGUGUUAAAUCAAAUACAGGUAUGGGACCUGUUAUCCAGAAUGCUGGGG